GAGUGAUCGAAGGAGAUCUAAUGGAAGAGUAUAAGAGCUUUGUAAUCACGAUUCAAGUUUCGCCCAAGAGCGAGGGUAGUGGCAGCGUAGUGCACUGGACUUUGGAAUACGAGAAGCUGCACGGUGGGAUUGAGCAUCCUGAGACUCUGCUGCAAUUCGUUCAAGAUGUCUCUAAAGACAUUGACGGCCACCUCACCCAAGCAAGUUAAACAGUAUCACAUGAUGCUAUUGUUGCCGCUACUUGAAGCACUAUUCAUCUAUUUAAUGAAUAAAGUGACAACUUCCUUUCUCAUGUAUUUUGAUCUGAAUAUGUACGUUUAGAUCAAUAUGCAGUCACGGGGAGGAGCUUUGUAUUUUCUUGCAUGUUUGUCUUUUUAAUUAUGUAUGAAUUCAAUGUGUCCUAUGCUUUUAUUUGUGUUCUAAUAAAUAUUUGUAAGUAUGAUAUCGUAAUCUAUUUCCACUCUUUCUCUUUUCAUUUUUGAGCUGUUUUUUUUUCCUUCAAGGGAGAUAUUGGAGUUUCAAGAUGGAUCAAUCAAUUUCCGAACCAGAAACGAAGAAGUACCUUGAAACCCAAAUUGGUUUCAACGUGUUUGCAGAGGAAGAUCUUGAAGGUCUUGGCCUUAGCUCUUCAAAAUCAUUCAAUCUCUCGACAGAAUUACUCCUCCACCUUCUUCUGUUUCCUCAAAAAAUACCUAAACUUGAAAAACAAACACAUCAAGCAGAGCAAAAUUACAAUCCCAAUCCCCCACCCUAUCAAGAAAAUUAAGAUCAGACAAAAUUAAGAAUUUUCAAUACAAUAAUAUGCUUUAGAUCUUUUAGGGAAUGAUAAUAUUCUUUAAAUGAUGUUGUAGAAACGUUAGUAAAAUAACAGUAAUAUAAAGCACGGCUACAGUAAUCAACAAAUAGUAGCCUUGCGUUUGUCUAUCAUCAAAAAACAACAAACUCGACGGAUUUGGAUUUACACCCUUUACGCACAAAGGAAAGUAAUAAUUUAGUCAUUUAAUAAAUAUUAAGUUGGUUCACAUAUAUAUACAUGUUCCAUAUUUGAUAUCUAACUAAUGUGAGAGUAAGCUUUCCUUUUUACUUUAUAUAAUUCACAAGUGUCUUGCUUUGAGUAUCAAUUUCUCAUUCAUCACUCAACCAUUUUAAGCAUAUAAUAUACCGUUGUAAAGAUCUCAUGGAGUAGAAUAUAAAACUACAGUUUUAUGAAUCAAAUCUCCACCUUUACUAAUCAAGAAUAUGCCUCAAAAUUUAAAAAAAAUCUAUUUUUUUCCAACAAAUGAGAUAGUUUAUUGAUUAGUUCUUUAUCUUGCAUGAAGAAGGGAAACAAGUUAUUUGUGAUGAACUAAAUUCAGGUACAUAUGAACAAUUCAAAUAAAAAUAUCCUCAUAACAAGGUGAUUCUGAGGUGAAACCACAUAUUCCCAUAUCAAUCUAUAUUGAAUAAAAGCUCGACUUUGAAUCACAAAUUUCAUCAAACACAAUGUGCAUGGCAUGCUAACCUGAAACCGGGGACUUUGAGAGACUGCAAUGCGUGGAAGGUGACUACAAAGGCAACCAACACCUAAUGUAACCCAUAUAUGCCAGUGGUGUAAAGACGCAAGAAAUGUGAUUAUCAAAGUAGGGCCAUUUAAGUGUGUAGGACCAUUUAACAAAAUUGUUCUCGAAACCACUUUUUGAAAAUAAAAAAUCGUGUCGAAUUAAAAAAUGAAAGUUGGAGUCGCCACCGAUCUUUUAUUGAGGUGUGAUCGGAUCACUUUAAAAAUGAUUUUGGUCUACGAGUUUCAAAAAAAAAAAAGAGUUCGAGAGUCAGUUACGUACGAGGAAGGAUUAGCACCCUCGUAACGUCCAAAAUUGAUACCGAAUUGAUUAUUUAAUGUCUUAAAGUUGAAUUUCAAAAAUUCGAAGAGAUUAAAAAUGAUUUCCCCUUUUUAUUAAUGUCAUAUUUUAAAACAAUUCUUGGAUAGAUUUGAACGAAUGUAAAAAGGCUUUCUCAGCCCAAGGCAACAAAAUGUCGUACUCCGUAAGUUAGGAUGCAACAUUUGAAUUCCUGAGCAUAAGCUAACCUUUAAAAACCUUUAUUGAAACUUUGUGUAUUUGAAAACUAAAGGUGUUUGACCAUCUUGGUUCAAUGAGGAAAUCGAAACCCUGUAAGUUAUGACACAAUUUCUCGAAGUUCCAAAGACGACAUAUAAGUUUGCCUUUAUUAAAAAAAUCUUGUCUCGAGAUAUCAAAGGGUUAUAUUCAAUGAGUUUGGACACAACGUUUCUAAUUCUUGAGAUAAGCUUUGAUUUGAAAUUUUUACGUUUGAUUUUAAAAAGGCAUACUCGGUUACUUAAAUUCAACAAAGAAAAUUGAAGCCCAGUAAGUUAGGGCACAAUCUUCUGGAAAAUCUUAGAUAUCAAGUAUUGCUUUAUUUUGAAAACUUUUGAAUAAAACGAUUUUAAUGCUUAAAUGGAAUAUAAUCUUUUUGACAAAUAAAACACAAUGAGAUGACAAUGUAACCGCGAAAGAAUAAUUCGUAAGCCAAAAUACAUACAAAUGAACGCAAAUAAUCAAUCAAUACAAACAAGUAAUACAAUGUACAUAAUAACAAUAAUCUCACAUCACAUGUAAAUAUUAACACCAACAUUUAAAAGGUAAUGACCUAAAAGCCUAUCACAAAUGAAAUGUAACUAAUUUAAAACAACUAAAAAAAACAUGAGAGAAAAGAAAUUUGAAAUUAUCAAUAUAUAUACACAAAUUACAUGUAUAUAAAAAAUUAAAAAGAAGUAAUUAAUAUGAAGACUUGAAAUAGUUUAAAAAUAAAAUUUAAAAAUGAAUAAUAAUAUCUAAGUGAAUUUUAAAGUAAGUAUUAUAAGAAGAAAAUCAAAAUAAAUAAAUAAUACACAUAUAUUAAUCUAAAUAAGUAAUACAUAUGAAAUGAAACCCUCAAUAUAAAUAAUAUAUAUAAUAAUAUAUGUAAUAGUUAAAGCAAGUAAAAUAAAAUAGAAUAUUUAAAAGAGAUAAAGUACAUAUUUAUAUAUAGAAAAUAGGUAAAAAUAUAUAAUUUGAAAUCAAUAGUAUAUUAUGUAUAUACAUAUAUGUAUGAUAAAAUAACUCAAUGUAAAUUGUAUAUACAUAUACGCAAUGGAAUUAUGAAAAUAUUAUUGUAUAAAUCUUUAAAGUUAGAAAUAUAUAAAAAUAGAUUUUAAGAAUAUAUUAUAAGAUAAAAUCAUAAAAAUGUAUACAAAUGAUACUAGAUUAACAUAAAAAAACAAAAUAAUACAUUAUGAAAUUAAAAUAUAAUAUAUGAAAAACUUAAAAUAAUAUUACAUAAUAAAAUAAAAUAAUAACAGAAGGACUAAUUUGAAAUUAAAACAGAAAUUUAGGGGUAAAUUUGAAAUAAAUAAAAGGAUAUGAACCACAUUGAACGCACGAAUAACAGGAAAGGGCCAAAAUGGAAAUUAAUCCCUGCCCUCCAAAACGCUGCGUCCCAUCAUGGAUCGAAAUGAAACCAGCAGAAAAUUAUAUGGCCAAAAUUAAAGUAUCAAAAGGACUAGAUUGAACCAUGGCACAAAAAUAGAGGGACUUGGUGCACAAAUAUCCCUCCCCAUACCAAAAUGCACAGAUCUAGCCGCAUCUGGAUCGGGUCAUCAGGUAUCUCAAUACGACACCGUUUUAGAGCCAUUGACACAGGCCCUAAACAGUGUCAUUUUUCCUACUUUAAAUAUCCCCUUUUAAACCCUAAAAUCAGUAGCCACCACCCUAUUUCUCUUCGUCGCUACGCAAGCCAGAAAUCCUCCACUCUCAACUCCGAUUUGGAACAGAGCACGUGGAGAUUCUGACGACACACUCACGUAGGUAUGGCCUCUUUCGUUUCUUUUUAGUUCGCAAUAAAAACAAAUCAAAGGAAACAAAAGAAAGAAAAAAAAAGAAAAAUGGAAAUCGGAAAAUCACCUUAAAAAUUCACUGCUAUAUGUUCUCUUUUUUUAUUGAUUUUUUCCAAUCACUUUUAUAGCUUUGAUUGGCUCCUUUUAUAGCCAAAACAGAAAGAAAAAUGAAAUUCUCGAAACUAUUUUUUACAUUUUUUCCUAUUUUCUGUUAUUAUUUGCUAUUAUUUUGGUUUGGCUUGCUGCUUUGUUGAGCUUGUUGCAGGUGUAUGGCCAGCUAGAGAAGGCCUGGUUCGCAUGCGAGGCACGCGCGUGGCGGUGGCGCAGCACACACGGAGGGCAGCGACUGGUGGUUGCUGUUACUGCUAGGGUUUUAAUUUUUUUGUUUUGUUUUGGGCUAGUGGGCUAGAAAUGCGUUUGUAAUUUGGUUAUUGGGCUAGGGUUGAAUUAAUAAAUUGGGCUUUGGGUUUAAUUUUUGGGUAAUUCGGGUUUAUUGUAAUUUGGACUUUAAUUGUAAAUGGACUUUUAUUUUUUUAUUUUUAUUUGGUUUUUUGAUUUUUUUGUGUUUUUGGGCCCGCGCAUAUAUGGGCUUGUACGAUCAUUUUAUUAAUAAUGAUUUUAAAAUUGUAAAAUAUUUUAUGUAAAAUACUUUUCUUUAAAAAAAUUGUAGAACCAUUCAUUAAUUGUGUACAAACAUGAAAGGGAUUGUCACACCUAUUAAUCGGGUGAAAAAACAUUUUAUGGAAAAUAUUUGUUCUUUAAAAAAGUUGUUCAAUAAUGUUGGUGAAUGGUAAAGAAUUUGUGUUUAAAUUUAUUAAAAACAUGUAUAAUUAUUGUAUUUGUUGUUUUUAGUUGUUUUAUUUAAAAUUUAUAUAAAAACAUGAAAAAAGUUAUGAAUGCUAUUAAGUGAAUGUUCAUUAUAAUCAACCUUUCAUUUUCCAUCUUUCUUAACUCUUCACCUUUCAUCUCCUUGUAAUCCAUUUCCUAUUUAUCUAAUAGCAAAUGUGGUAAUCUCCCUAUAUAUAUAGAAGUAUACGACUUGUAAUGAUAAUGAUGAUGAAGAGAAAUGCAAUAGAAAUCCCCCUUAUUCUCAUAUAUUAUUCUUGUGUUCUUUGAUUUAUUAUUUUAUAACACAUUAUUAGCACGAGCUUACUCAAUAGUAUUCAAUAUUUCGUUGGAGAACAAGUAAUAUAGACGUACAAUGUUCUUAUUGAAGCAACAAUCCUAAGGUAUGUGAUUUUCUAUGCAUGCUUGAAAGAUUUUAAGAUUUCAAUAUUCUUAAUGAAAAAAAAGAAGUUAAAAAUGACGCUCAUUUCAUUUUUUUAAUAGUUAAGUAUGAAUUUAUGUGUUAUAUAUUUCAUGGUAUGCUUAUUUAUGAUCUAAGGCUUUGAAUAAGAUUGAAGUAUCAACAACUUCAAUAUUUUUGCUUAAAUAUUUUUUAGUAAACUUAUUGUGUUUUCAAAAGAUACAAUCUUUCCAAAAACCAGUUGAUUUUAAUGUUUUCUUCGCAAAAAGUUUGAUGUGAUCCUGAUCGCAUCAUGUAAUGUCACAACCCAACGCCGUCGAGAUUGGCCUAAACACGAGGGCCCCAAGUGCAAGAUGAAGCUAAUUUUUAGCUCAUUUGAAUUUCUUUUCGUGUGGUUCAACUCAUUCGAGCUCAAGUUAGCUCAUUCGUGCUCAAGUCAGCUCAUUCAAGCUCAAUUUAACUCGUUGAGCUCGUUAUUAGCUCUUUAGCUCUUUUAAUUUAAUUUGCCGGAAUAAAUUAAUUAGUUGAGUUAGUUAUUUUAGCUCAAAUAAUUACUAAGUGUUUAAUUAAGAAAUCUGGACAUUUUAAUUAUGUUUGUUUAUUGCAUGUUUAAAUUGUUUUAAUUAUUACCUAGCAUAAAUGUGUUUGCCUUAUUACAAUUAUUUAAUGUGUGCGAUUUAAGCUAAGUAAAUUUGUUGAAUUUGCUAGGACAAUGUACAUGGACGGCAAGAAGAGGUGGACUGCAACAAGCAUAAAAGCCGAAUUAAUGUGGAGGUGAACGGCAUGAAAUUAAGGAAGCAUUUGGCCAACAUCAUGCAUAAUUCAUGGAAGAAUUUGAGGAAGCAUUUGACCAACAUCAUGCAUAAUUCAUGGAAGAAUUUGAGGAAGCAUUUGACCAACAUCAUGCAUAAUUCAUGGAAGAAUUUGAGGAAGCAUUUGGCCAACAUCAUGCAUAAUUCAUGGAAGAAUUUGAGGAGGCAUUUGACCAACAUCAUGCAUAGUUCAUGGAAGAAUUUGAGGAAGCAUUUGAACAACAUCAUGCAUAAUUCAUGGAAGAAUUUGAGGAAGCAUUUGACCAACAUCAUGCAUAAUUCAUGGAAGAAUUUGAGGAAGCAUCAUGGCCGAAUUUGGCUUCCAAUUUUACCCAUUCGGCUACCCUUUUGUUUUGCCUAUAAAUAUGUGUUAAAUUUCAUUGUAAAAAGAGAGAAGAACCUUGAAUUAAUGUUUUUACAUUUUGUGAGAUUGUUUACAACUCUCAUUGUUCUCCAAAGACUCGUUUGACUUAUCAAGUAACCCUUGUGGCGUCAACCCAUUCUUCUUAUCCGAACUUAUCACUUUGCAUCCAAAGUGUGGCGUUCAAGUUAUACCGAGGUUCCUAUCAUCUUUGAUAGUGGGUCAAGGUUCCAUUUUAUUCGUUUUCCAUCCAUACAACAUUUAACCUUUCCUAAGUAUUCGUAUAAGUCCCGGGUUAACACACUUAUAUUGUGUUGGUUCAACUUGAAUACUUGGUUUUCAUUCACCUAUCAUCCUCAAUACACUUCAUAACCCCUUUUGAACUAAAUUUGAGCCUUUAUCCCUUCUUUCUUAACCUAUCUUCGACAAACCUUGAUAUUACUCCAAUUCACGAUCGGGUACAUCAACGACUCGACUCUCAUCACCGAGGCCGGGGCGUAUCAUCUGGUAUCAGAGCUAGCCGAAUCGGAGUAAGAAUCAUCAUCUUUGAUAUUAUGGUUUUGUAAAAAAAAAUCAAAAAAAAAAUUUGCCUACGGUCUAGGCGCGGACGAAAAGAACGUGAAAGAUCCGUAAAAAAAAAAUUUUUGCCUAUGGUCUAGGCGAGACGAAAAGAACGUGAAAGAUCCGUAAAAAAAAAAGAGUCUGGAAACCCUUCAACAAUUUUUUUUGAAUCAUAAUCUACACUCCUUUAUACCCCUUUGAGUGAAUUUUCACGUUUUCAAAAAAAAAAAUUUAUCCAAUUUAUUAUUUUUUUCUUUCUUUCUUCUUUUGUAUUCGGUAUUAAAAAAAAGAAAAAUUCAAAAAAAAACAAAAAAAAAUUCGGAAUUAAAAAAAAAGUGAUUGAAAUUCAUUUUAAGUUUUGUUUGAUAGCCUACCAUUUCCGACAUCAUUGCCCACCAAGCCAACUCAAUUUUGUAAGCCGACGACAAACGGUAUUGAUUCGUCUAUUUAGUUUGCGAGGAACUUCGAGAGGUAAAAAAAAUCGACUGGAAAAAGGCAAGAGUGAUUGGUGUGAGUUCAUUCGAGAGAAGAAAAGCCAAAAGCGAGCGUAAACGCGAGUGGAGUGAAAAUUUUCUUUCCGAGUGUCUUGCGAAGUUUUGUGGUGAGGUAUUUACUUUCUAUUUUAAACACUUAUUCUUUUUAGCAAAAAAAAAUGUCUCAAGAAGAAUUUUCCGAGUCAGAAUUCCAAUAUUUGAUGCAAGAAGUGCGUAGAAUGGUGAAAUCAAAAUUUGAUAAAUUGCAUAAUCGAUUGGAUCGAAUAGAGAAAAGAGCCCAACGAAAGAAAAUUUCAUCGAGUCAAGAGACGGAGUUAAGAUCAUCUCGACGACACUACUCAACAAGAGACUCUUAUCAAGACUUCUAUUCAACAAUGCGUUCGAGACCAAGAGAAGCAAACUCCGAGUUUGAGUCCUUUCGAGAUAAUAAACGAAAAGGUAAACAUGUCUCUACAAGUGCCUCAAUUUAUUCAUCUACGAAGGAUUAUUUACGAAUAGGCGAACGUGUUUCAAGAGUGUCAAAGUACUCGGCUACGAAAGAUUUAUUACAAAGAGAUGAUUGUCAUUUGUAUGAAGAAUCCUUUUCUUAUUCUCAACAAAAGGAUUCUCAUUUUGAUGAUUUCUACUUUUGUAAUGGAAUUGAAAUAGCAUGUGAAAAAGAAAAAGAGCGCGAGCGAGAAAAUGAAAAUGAAAAAGAAAUGAAAGAAAAAGAAGAUGAGUGUGAGAUAGAAAAGAAAAUUGAAAAUGAGAUUGAGAAUAAAAACGAGUGUGAAAAAGAAAAGAAAACUGAAAAAGAGAGUGAGAUUGAAGGAAGAAAUGAGAGUGCAAAAGAAAUGAGUGAUAUGGUAAAGGAAAGAGGAUUUGAAAAUGAGUUGGAAAAAGAAAUAAGCGAAAAAGAUGAAAGUGAACAAGAAAGGAGUGUUGUUACUAACCAUCCUAUGAAUUUUCCUUGUUUUGUUUCUACUUUUCAGGUUUCUCAAAAUCCCAUCGAUCAAUUUCAACUUCAAUACUUUUCUGAGGAGAGACGAUUUCGAUUAGUCGAGAAAGGUAAAAUCAUAGAUGACUCUAUUCCACCAGCGCCUAAAGGUAAGCAUGGUAAGGGUUCUAUGUUAGUCGAACUUCAACAAAUUCAUAUGCAUGAUAAUGUUGAGAUUGCUGAAGAAUUAGUUAGUAGAAGACUUUCCUAUCCUGAUAUGUCUAAGUAUCAAUUUUUGAUUGGUAAUGACUUUGAUUGGGAUGAUGGAUUGAAAAGUUUUCCUCAAGAUAUUUCUGAUGUUUACAAGUUUGAUGAUGAAACAAGAUUAAAACAACACAAACAAAAUUUGGGAUUGUGUGAUGAAAAGUUGACAUCUAAUCUGUUUGCUUCUGUUGAUCAUGUGAAUUAUCUAAUUUGUGAUUUUGAAAAUUGCUCCAUGUCGUGGUUUAAAAGGUUUGAACAUGUUUUGCAUAAUCAUUACUUAAAAUUACAUCGUUUCCUUUUUAUGAUACCGAUUUUGGAAUUGUCAUAUCAAAUUGGAAUGGCAAGAGGAAACUUUGUUUUUGACCCCGGUGCAUAUCAUUUUAAAUUGUUGUCAAAAGGAUUCGAACUAUGGGAAGUUGACUUCAAAAAUUAUAGCUAUCAAGUGCCUUGUGACCUAGGUUUGUUGCAAUCAAUGAAUUUUUUAAUUCAUUUUGAUAAGGUAAGACCAACUUCUACUUUUGAUCCCGUUAUUGACUCAUAUGUUCACUUGUUGAAUAAGAUCUUUAAAAAUUCUUUUGAGUUUAUGAUUUCUAGUGUCACUAACCUAUCUCUUUCUUGUGUAGGUGACACUUCAGAAUGGUUCCCUCCAAAAGAGGGAGGGCGUGGAAAUAAUUCAAAAUUUUCUCGAACCAUUCGUGAUUUUCAAAGUUUUGGAAAUGAUUCUAUUCGGGUCAUGAACAAAAGGGUUCGAGAUCUUGAAAAAAAUUUUUUGAGCAAGUGGCCCGAUUUGAGGACAAAUCGUCUUCAAGAUGGAGGGUAUGAUGUGAUCCUGAUCGCAUCAUGUAAUGUCACAACCCAACGCCGUCGAGAUUGGCAAAUCAUAGAUGACUCUAUUCCACCAGCGCCUAAAGGUAAGCAUGGUAAGGGUUCUAUGUUAGUCGAACUUCAACAAAUUCAUAUGCAUGAUAAUGUUGAGAUUGCUGAAGAAUUAGUUAGUAGAAGACUUUCCUAUCCUGAUAUGUCUAAGUAUCAAUUUUUGAUUGGUAAUGACUUUGAUUGGGAUGAUGGAUUGAAAAGUUUUCCUCAUGAUAUUUCUGAUGUUUACAAGUUUGAUGAUGAAACCAGAUUAAAACAACACAAACAAAAUUUGGGAUUGUGUGAUGAAAAGUUGACAUCUAAUCUGUUUGCUUCUGUUGAUCAUGUGAAUUAUCUAAUUUGUGAUUCUGAAAAUUGCUCCAUGUCGUGGUUUAAAAGGUUUGAACAUGUUUUGCAUAAUCAUUACUUAAAAUUACAUCGUUUCCUUUUUAUGAUACCGAUUUUGGAAUUGUCAUAUCAAAUUGGAAUGGCAAGAGGAAACUUUGUUUUUGACCCCGGUGCAUAUCAUUUUAAAUUGUUGUCAAAAGGAUUCGAACUAUGGGAAGUUGACUUCAAAAAUUAUAGCUAUCAAGUGCCUUGUGACCCAGGUUUGUUGCAAUCAAUGAAUUUUUUAAUUCAUUUUGAUAAGGUAAGACCAACUUCUACUUUUGAUCCCGGUAUUGACUCAUAUGUUCACUUGUUGAAUAAGAUCUUUAAAAAUUCUUUUGAGUUUAUGAUUUCUAGUGUCACUAACCUAUCUCUUUCUUGUGUAGGUGACACUUCAGAAUGGUUCCCUCCAAAAGAGGGAGGGCGUGGAAAUAAUUCAAAAUUUUCUCGAACCAUUCGUGAUUUUCAAAGUUUUGGAAAUGAUUCUAUUCGGGUCAUGAACAAAAGGGUUCGAGAUCUUGAAAAAAAAAUUUUGAGCAAGUGGCCCGAUUUGAGGACAAAUCGUCUUCAAGAGGGAGGGUAUGAUGUGAUCCUGAUCGCAUCAUGUAAUGUCACAACCCAACGCCGUCGAGAUUAGCCUAAACACGAGGGCCCCAAGUGCAAGAUGAAGCUAAUUUUUAGCUCAUUUGAAUUUCUUUUCGUGUGGUUCAACUUGAAUACUUGGUUUUCAUUCACCUAUCAUCCUCAAUACACUUCAUAACCCCUUUUGAACUAAAUUUGAGCCUUUAUCCCUUCUUUCUUAACCUAUCUUCGACAAACCUUGAUAUUACUCCAAUUCACGAUCGGGUACAUCAACGACUCGACUCUCAUCACCGAGGCCGGGGCGUAUCAUCUAUCAUCUUUGAUAGUGGGUCAAGGUUCCAUUUUAUUCGUUUUCCAUCCAUACAACAUUUAACCUUUCCUAAGUAUUCGUAUAAGUCCCGGGUUAACACACUUAUAUUGUGUUGGUUCAACUUGAAUACUUAGUUUUCAUUCACCUAUCAUCCUCAAUACACUUCAUAACCCCCUUUGAACUAAAUUUGAGCCUUUAUCCCUUCUUUCUUAACCUAUCUUCGACAAACCUUGAUAUUACUCCAAUUCACGAUCGGGUACAUCAACGACUCGACUCUCAUCACCGAGGCCGGGGCGUAUCAAAGUUGUCUUCCAAUUUAUUUACUACUCAAAAAUUCAUUCAUUAUAUUGCAUCGAAAAAGUGAUAAUCGAUUGGGUUUUAAUUUAAAAACCAAAUUUCAUGCAUCUUUAAUUAAAUUCCAAAAUCUAAUAACCUAAUCAACUUAAAUGUCAGGCAUGUCAAUAAUUAACCCCAAAAUUUAAGUCUCAUGCCACUGUUCAUAUAAAAAAAUUUAGUUCCCAAAUAACUGGCAUUAUAAAUAAUAUGUCUAAAAUACUUUUAUAAAAAACACUAUACGAGACAAGCCCUCCGAAUGUCUAGUCUAUGUCCUAAUCUUGUGGGUUAUUUAUAAAGUUGGAAAUUAAGGGGGUGAGCUUAAGAGGCUCAGUGUGAGCCUAAACACAAGACAAAUUAGUCAAAAAAAAAGGACAAGACACACAAAAUAAAAUUUCUCAGAAUAAUCAUAAUCGGUAUAGCAAUACAGAGAACAUGGCUUACAAAAUAUCAAUUUUUCAGUUAACACAUCAAUAUAGCAUUUCAUAAUUUUUUAUUUGCUUGUGCAUGCUCAUGAUUGGAAAUGUAAUUUCAGUUUAUUAGAAAAGAUCCUACCCAACUCCGCAACACAUCACAGUAAGAGUGCCCCAGAACGCAUCUAUUCCUACACACCACGUUGUGGAUAAACCACCAGUAAUUGAAGAUGAACUACCAGUAAUAAAAAUAGUGGGUAAACCACUAUUAUUUUCAGAUAAAAAGUAUGCAGAUAAACUGACAGUAAGUUGUGGGAACCACCAGUGUUUGCAGAUUAUUAAACUGCCAAUACUUACUCCAUUCAUAUCAUCCCACCCAUGUAAUGCAAUAUGACAUGCUUGUAACAAAAUAGUACAAAAAUAGUAGUCAUGCUUAUCAUGCAGCCAGUUUAACAGAAGCAGUAGGUAUGCUGAACAUGCAAUCAAUAAAACAAAAGCAGUAGCAGCAAUAACAAAUUGUCAAAUAUACAAUGACAGUAGGCAUGUAUCAUUCACAUAUCAUACAUUAUAAUUAUUCAAUUCAGCUGAUCAGAUCAUAGAUUUUAGAAUAUUCAUAAUAUUAGGGUCUCAAUUAAGUGAAUAUAAAAUUUAAAACAAUUCAGGGACUAUGCAAUGACUAAAUUGAACAUAUCACAAAUUUCUAGGCAAAAUUAUAAAAUAGAAGUCACAAGGCCGUGUAGAAGGCUGAUGCCGUGUGGGAAGGGGUACAGUGUCAUAUAUCUAGGCUAUGUAAUAGCCUGGUGUCGUGUGAAAAAUGAUAAAAUACCCUACAAUAAGGACACGACCGUGUGGCAGACCAUGUAAUAGCCUGAUGCCAUGUGGAGCAUGAACUACCCUAAAAUUUACAAGUGCACAUGGUCAUGUGGUCCUCACACCUGUGUGGGAGACCGUGUGGUCCUAAAACUCCACACUAUCACUAUCGAUUCACUUAGAAAAGACACACACCUUUCACCAUGGGUCCAAUUGGCGCUUUUCACAAUCGAUUUUGAUUUUAUUCACCUAGAUUCGAUCCUUCAACGAUAAAUACUCACGAAUUAACAGUUGGUAUCAAGAUUUGGCAAGAUUAUAAAAGAUUUCGAAAGAUCCAAAAAAAAAUUGAUUGAUUGAACUGAAAGAUUAAUAUUGGAUAUUCGUACAACAGAAUUACGAAAUCUAAUAAUUGAAACUAAGUGUAGUUAUCGGCAAAGAUUUCAAAUGCUACUGACGAUGAUUCUAAAUAUCGAUAGAAAUUAAACGAACAGAAAACAAUUCGAUAGGGGAAAGAAAAAUAAUUAACAGCACAAAGAAGGAAAUAAGGUGCUAAAAUGAAAGAAAAAUGAGAGAAAAAAUAAAUGGAAAACUAAUUCUACUAGAAUUUUGGGAAGGGGCAAAGUGAAAAAUAAGAUAGGAAAAAUUGGUUAAAUACCUAGGGCUAGUAAACCCUAGGGGCGAUGCAUGUAAUUUACCCAAUCUUGCCAAAAAUUAAAAGCAAAUGAAAGGGGAAGGAUGGGGCUUGAACCUAGGAUCUCUAUGAAGAAUUUGCUAACUUUUAACCAUUAAGCCUAUAACUCAUUUCUUCUUUAUAUUUCGGGGUGUGACAUGAAGAGACCCAAGGCAGAACUUUUGAUAAAACCCUAGAAGAGGUUUAGGUACCUAAAAUUAUGAAUAUAAUUAGAUAUAUCAAUUAGUUAUGUCAUAACCAAAGAUGAUGGAGCUGACAAAAGGAAAUUUUUUUCAACAAUGAUAAUAUACAUAUACCACUUCAAUAUUAUGGAAAAGUGAGGAUUUUGAAUGAAAAUAUACUUGAAAGAAUUGAGAUGAGAACAAGUCAUCAAAAUAAAUAAACACUUCUAUUAUAACUUAUGUAAUGUAUCUUAGAUAUGAAGUCCAAACACCAGAAGGUGUAAAGCCAAGCGGAGUACAUGUUAGCAUAAUAGCGAAAAAAAUACAAGUUUAUUUGACAUAAAUUAUUUAUUUAUUUAGCAAAAAAUACAUGUUAGCAAAAUUAUUUAUUUAGGUCUAGUAAAUUUGUAUUCGACUGAUAUAAAACUCAAGUUUGAUGAAAAAAUCAUUAAAUGUGAAUAUGAUUUUGUUAAAGAGUUUUUAUUAAUUAAUGUAUUUAUGCAUAUAGGUUAUUAUCAUCAUUGUUGAUAUUAAUGUAUCAAAUAUCAUUAGAGUUCUUGAAGAAUUUUCAAUAGUAAUAAUUAUUCAGUAGAUAAACUUUAUAAUAAAAGUACAUCUAAAAAUUAAAUUUUAUCUUAACCUAAAGAUUGAGCGUUCAAUAAGAACAAAUGCUCAUGCAAUGAUGUUAUAAAAUAAUAGUCCUGAAGUAUCAAUUAUUUAUGUGUCCAAUACACUCAUUGUAUUGGUAAUAUUGAAUGAUACAAUACAUUAUGCUUUAUAAAGUUGUUGGCAACAUCUAAAGCAUGAGAAUGCAAUUGAAUUUUAUUGAUAUAUUGAUACACAUAAACAAAAUUUUGUUGUAUAUGUUGAUGACUUUCUGUUGGUAAAUAAGAUUGAAUGUCUGAGUAUUGAGUUAUAAAAUGAUGUUCAAAUAAGGGUGAUCAAAAUAUGCACUAUUGUAACACCUCUCACUCGAUGCGAAGAAUAAUCGAGAAUUCAAUUAUGCAUUCCCUAUCACUACAUUUGAGAAGUUAGUUUUUAGUAUUGGAUUGCGUCGUCUCAAAGAUCUUAAGUGAUGCUUACAUGAGGGGGAGUAAACUCGCACUAUAUUUUUCUUUUAAGGUUGUGACAUAUUGUGUAUUAGAGGAUUAUGUACUUUUUCUUCCUUCACUAGAUUUUUGUCCCACAGGGUUUGUUAUAAUAAGGUUUUUAAUGAGGAAUAUCAUUUAUACAAUGAACAUCCAAGGGGAGUGCUAUGAAUGCUAUUAAGUGGAUGUUAUUUAUAAUCAACCUUUCACAUUUCCUCUUCUUAACUCUUAACCUUUCAUCUCCUUAUAACCCAUUUCCUAUUUAUGUAUUAGAAAAUGUAGAGUCUAAUCUCCCUGUAUAUAUAUAGGAGUAUACUACUUGUAAUGAUGAUGAAAAAGAAGAGAAAUGCAAUAGAAAUUCCCCUUAUUCUCAUCUAUUAUUCUUGUGUUAUUUGCGUUAUUAUUAUUUCAUAACAAAAAAAAAAUCUAUCAUAAUAAUAUUGAUUAUUUUUUAAAAAUAUAAAUAAACAAUUUUUUUCCUAACUGGAUUGAUGCCUGAUAAACCUAAAAAUCAACUCAGGCUUCAUAAUCAAUAUAGAUAAUAUAUUUAAUUAUUACCAAUAUAAAUUUUGUUUUAUUUGGUAAAUAAGAUAAUGAUUGAUAUUUAAUGGAUAUAAACAGAUGCAGAGUGAUGCAUAAUCAGAUCAACAAUAAUAGGUUUUCUUUUUUAUAUUAAAAUCAAUCUAUACCUAUCGAUACUAUUAUAUUACCAUUAAAUUGGUAUGAAAUCGCGUUCUUCAAUUGAAGAAACUUAGAAUCAAAGGCGAUCUAACCCUCUCAAUUAUCUUAGCAAUCCAUAUAAUAUUAUAUUUGAAAAGGUAAAUUAGUUCUUGUCUUUUGUAUAUAUUUAUUUGAUGAAUCAAUAUCAAUAUAAAACUAAUGAUCAAUAAAAUCAGGUGAUUGAUCCACUUAAUUCAAUUAUUAUUAUUUUUAUACCAUUUAUAACUCACUAUUUUUAAAUUAAAAAAAUAGUAAAUUUUAUAAUACAAAACUAAUAUGUUUGUUGCUAUAAUUCAAGUAUAUGGAAUGGGAAAAGUUGAAGCUUUAUUUGGUUUUUGUUUGAUUCUAUUCCAUAACACCUGGUGUAGAUUAGAUAACCCGACAGUUGUGGGAGUUGGUUGGAUCAGUUGAGAUGGGUCAAAGACUUAUUUAUCACGUGUCUAUUUAAAUAUUAUUGACCAACCCGGACAGAUUAAUUAUUUAUUUAUUUUAGAAAUUUAUUUAUUAAAAUAAAUACUUUUAUAAAUAAAAAAUAUAUUUUUUAAAAACCUAAGACUUAAACCAAAUUCAAAAUUUUUCUUUUUAAAAAAAAUUAUUUUAUAAAUAAUAAAUUUUAUUAUACGUCUGAUCUUACUUUUUAUUUCUCGUCAAAUUUGUCGAGCCUUGGAUAUCACCUUCUCCUUCAACCAUUGAUUUCAAUAACGCUUACUUUGAACUCCUUAAUUUCCACAUCUUCCAUCAUCAUGUCGUCGAACUAGGUAUUAGUUGUGGACCUGUCGCUAUGGCCUUCUACCUAUUGGGUCUCCAAGACUUCAUCCUCACCUAUAUAUCUUUGGCCAUACUCGCCUUCAAGCACAACUGCAAAUGCAACAAACUUGUUAUGACCAACAACCUAAAAACAUUGAUUUUCACUCUUUUUGACUUUACGUUGUAGUUUUUGACCCUGCCUAAGCAUUGAUUUUCAUUCACAUACUUACUCUGUUUUAUUUCCUCUGUUUUAUAGUACUUGGAAGCUUGUAAAGGUCGGAGCGGGUCGGAGCAAGAUCACACUAUCCAUCAGCUUAUUUUGGUAUUGUCGAAACCACUUUUUUAUUUUGAAAAAUGGUGAUCGACUUUUGAAAAUAAAAUGGGAGUCGCCACCGAUCUUUUAUUAAGGUGUGACAGGUUCACCAUUAAAAUGAUUUUUGGUCUACGAAUUUUGAGAAAAUAGGUUCGGGAGUCGGUUACGCACGAGGAAGGGUUAGCACCCUCGUAACGCCCAAAAUUGGUACCGAAUUGAUUGUUUAAUGUCUUAGUACCGAGGAUUUGAAAAGAUUUUAAAAAUACGAUCCUUUUAAAGUUCAAAUUUGAAUAAACCAAAUUGAAUAACAAGAUGCACUCAUUUUGAAGAAAUAAAUUGCUACACUCAGUGAGUUAGAAUGCAACAAUUCAAUCGUCAAAAUUAAGUAUUUUCAAAUUUUGAAAUGAAUUUUGAAGAGGUUGUUCGGUCAUUUAAGUCAAACGAGAAAUCAAAGUCCAGUGAGUUAGGUUUCGAUUUCUCGGAGUUCUUAAACAUCAAACAUUGCCUUUAUUUUAAAAUUGGGAUAACAGAAUGUCACAUCCAGUAAGUUAGGAUCUGACAUUUUGAAAUCUUAGAUGCUUAGUUUUAAAAUCGUACGGUUUUAAUAAAAUAAGCACAUGGCUACCUAAGUUUAUUGAGAAAAAUUGGAACCCAGUAAGUUAGGGCACAAUUCUCUCAAGAAUUAUAAACGCUAGGCUUUUUUUUUAUAAGAAAUAGGAUGAUGAAAGUAAAAUUUUUAAAAGAAAUAUGUAAUGUAAAAGAUAAAUGAUAAUUCAAACUUAGACUAAGAAGUAGCCAAAUAUGAAGUAGAUAAAUACAAAUAAAGUAGCAACAAUAAUUUUAUUCACAUUAUACAUGAACUUAAAAUAAAUUUGGCAUAAAAAUGAUAAUAACAUUAUAGAUCAAUAUUUUGAAACGAAUUCAUAACGACUAAUAUACAUUUAUUAAUUUCACAAAAAUAGUAUACAACGUAACCAUAUAAAUAUACCAUACAUAUAUAUAUAAUGAGGUAAUUUAUAUACAUAAGUAAGUAAGAAAACAAAUUACAUAUAAGUAAAAUCGAUUCAAAAAUACAUAUAUAAACAUAUUAAAAACUCUUGAAAUUAAUAAUCUUAAUAAUAUCUAACAUCAUAAUAUUAACAUAUAUAUAUUUUAAAAUAUUUAAUAAUUUAUGUAUGUAUGAAGAAUUGUAUUAUAUGUAAAAAAUAUUAUUAUGUAAAUAUUUAAUAUAAUAUAUUAAAAAGAUAAAUCUUAAAACAAAUAUAAAACAAAAUAUACAUAUAAAUUAUAUCAAACCAUCAAAAAUAUGUAUUAAUGAAUAAAUUAAGUAAUAAUAUAUUAAAAUUUUCCUAAAAACGUAUGACAAAAUACAAAAAAAAUUACACGAUGAAUUAAAAUGGUAUAAUUAAUAAUAUAGAAUAAUAACUUGUUAUAUUUUAAACAAUAAUAAUAAAAUUUAAAAACUAUCAAAAGCUAAAUAUUAAAAUAAUACUAAAUUUUUUGAUAUAUGUCAAAAUAGGAUUAAAUAUAUUUAAAAUCUAAUGUUAAAAAUAAAAAAGCAAAGAGAAAAAAACAUCAUGCACUAAAUCGAAAUCUGACUUAAUAUUGAGGGACUAAAUUAGCAAUUUGACGCAAAAAAUAAAUAAUCAAAACCAAUCACAGAAACAACACCGUUUGACCAUGGAUUUAAAUGAAAACAAGGUUAAAUAUGCGAUACAAAUUAAGAAAAAUGGAAAGAAAUCCGAUUGAAACUGAGCAAAACAUAAAGGGACUCUCAGCGCAAAUAAACCAAUAAGUCAGAAUGCGCGGAUCCUCCCCGGGUCGGGUCACAUGCGCGGGUUAUAGGGCCAAUACGGCACCGUUUUAAGGCCACUGAAGCAGGCCUUAAACGGCGUCGUUUUUCACACAAUAAAUACCCUACUUUAAAACCCUAAAAUCAGCAGUUAUCAGCCGUAAACAAAUUAAAAAAAAAAACUAAACGUUUACCCCCCAUUCCAAGGUCGCGCCGCUCAGAAAAGAUUGCUCAGAGGCCUUUGAACCAUCGUCUGACUCCGAUUGCGACGGAGCAAAUGAAGAUCCGGCUAAUCAAGUAAACUCCUCGCUCUCUAACCUUAUUUUCUCUUUUAUUACAGUAUUGUUAAUGAACAAAAGAGCCAAGAAAAAGAACAAAGAAAUGCGAAGAAAAAAAAAUGAAAUCACCUUCCCCUUCCUACUAUAUGUUCUUUUCUUUUUUUAUUGAUUUUUCAAAAAGCGGAUCCCUUUUAUAGUAUGUUCUUUUCUUUUAUUGGCUUUAUUUGCAGGUACGGCGUACGGGGGUGGACGUGGCACGUACAGAUGUGCGCGGGCACGCGCGUACGGAGGCUUGCGUGAGUGCUGCUACGUGCGUGGGGAGUGGCUCGGGGGCAUGGUUCGUGGCGCACGUGAGGGGAGACUGUUGGCUGGGGUGCUUGGAGGCUGAAGGGGAGUUAGAAACCCUAAGGUUUCUGUUUCCUGAAACAUAGUGGGCUAUUGAGUGUUGGGCUUGUGCAACCGGGUUAGGUUAAGUUGGGCCAUACAGGUUUAAUAUGUAUUGAGGCUGGAGGGUUAGGUCUUUGUAAAUGGUUUUGGGCCACUGUAAUAUGGGCUUUUGGACAUUUAAUUUUUGCUUUUAUAUUGGUUUUAUUUUACUAACGGGCCGGUCAAAUUGGGCCUGUUACAGAUAUAAUUAGUAAAAUUUCCCUUGGUAUAAUGACAUGUACAGGUUAAAUUGACCAAAUGAUGGCAUAUUAAUAUUUGGUUGUAAUUAGUCAUUGGAAUGGCUAGUGAUGGUAUGUUUUGAUAUAUAUGUGUAUGAGACCAUAUUAUGUUGAUAUGUGUUGUGUGUUUGAAUUGAUAUACAUAUUAGGUAUAAAUAUACUUAAAUGAAUAUUUGACCAAUUUGGUAAGUUGGUCACUUGAAAAUAUGUGAUGAUAUGUCAUGCAUAAGAAUUGGUUUUGGUUUGAUCUAAAUGUUUUGAAUUGGUUUGGGAAUGUGUUAAAAUGUUAAUGUAGGUGCAAGGCAAAUUUGGGUGAGAAAUAAGGCUUGGAAAUGGUCUUAUUUUGUCCACACGGGCAGAGACACGGGCAUGUGUCUCAGCCAUGUGUGACAUACGGGCAGAGACACGGGCGUGUAUCUCAGCCGUGUGUGACACACGGCCAUGCGCACGGGCGUGUGGUUUGGCCGUGUGUCCUCUGCAUCAUAAAUUUGAGAAAUAGAAUGCUUCAAAUUGCUCACACGGGCAAACACAUGGGCGUGUGUCUACACACGGCCUAACACAUGGGCGACUUGGCCGUGUCACCCUUGCACCUAAUUUUCGAAAAUUAAAUUGUCCACAUGGCCUAGCAUAUGCGCGUGUGGCUGGCCGUGUGACCCAAGUCAGAGAGUUACACAGGUAUGGACACAGCUGUGUGCCUCACAUCGAAUGCCCACAUGGGCUGGGGCACGGGCGUGUCACUUGGCCGUGUGAGUCACUCGGCCUAGCCACACUGGUAUGUGUUCCUUGCACCUAUGAAAAAUUUUGAGAUUUUGCGAAAAAUUCUCUGAGUUUUCGAUUUAGUCCCGACUUGUUUCUAAAGCAUAAAUUGGGUCUCGAGGGCCCAUUCAAGGGACAUUAUGAUUGAAUAUGUUUAAUUUUGGUUAUGAAUAGUAAAUGAUAUGUGUAAACUGUUUUUAAAUCUGUAAACUUCGGUAAUGCUCCAUAGCCCUGUUUUGGUGACGGAUAUUGGUUAGGGGUGUUACAUAAAUCAUUUAGGCUAAUAUGAAUUUUUAUUUAAUUAUGCAUGAAACAUGGUAUUUAUUAAAUUUAUGUGAAUAUCACUUUUUCGCUGCUAAAUUAUAAAUGUGUUUUGUUAAGAAAGUAGUUCGAAUUUUUAAACUAAGUUUUCAAUAGUAAACAUCGUUAUAAUUAAACUGAACAGUUUUGAUAACUCAUGAGUUUUUCUAUAAAUUGAUCAAGUUUUCUUCUAAGAAUAAACCAAUGUUUUAAUUAACUGUUUUAAAACUCCGAUAAUUUUACCAAAUCAUUUUGAUAACCGAUAUAAUCUCCCGAUUCGAAUGUAACUUCUAGACAGAAUUGAAGAGGUUACAACUAUAAAAUUUUUCAUACAUCCACCAAAUCCCUAUGACAACAUCUAUUUAUUUUGUAUGUAGAAAAUGUUGAAUUAAUUUGCUGGACAGCAUUGCCCCACUCUUUGUCAGAUAUUGUAGAUCUGCUCUAUUAUUAGAUAUCGAUAUUCUAAAUUAUGGCUAACGUGAUGUGUGAUCUAUUUUCAUAUUUCUUCGAUGAUGAUAGUAGUAUCUUAUGGGAGGGAAUUAUUUAAUAAAAUAUUGAAUAAAUAUUAUCUCUAUCAUAAUCAUUUGUAAAGUGAUUUCUAUUAAUAAAUAUUGAAUGGCUAAAUUUUUUAAUAAAAUAAAUAAUUAAAAAAUUUUAAUUUACAUGAAUAAAAAUAAUUAAGUUAUCUUGCGAAUACACAUGUGAAUCAUGUGAUUGACCAGCAAAAUUUUGAAAAAAUUAAAUUGCCUUUCAAAGCCAUUUAAUCAAUUAGAGUUUUUCUUUUUGGCUGUUGUCACAACUAGCGUUCAAAUUCGAUAAAAAUUUUAUAUGUAUGAAAAAUAUUAAAAAAAUUAUGAUGAACUACUCAUUACAUGGCACGGUAUCAUGUGUAUAAAAACAAAAUUAAUAUUAAUCUUAUUAGCGAAAUUCAAUAAGGUGACAAUUAUUUUUAUUCAGUAAUGGAUUUUGGAAAUUGCAACUAAUUAGCAGUAAGUUGGAUUUCACCCAAAAAGCAAGUUUUAUUCACCCUGUCUUUAAUUAACAUCCUGCUUAGCUGGUUGGUCCCGUGUCAUAAUGUCAGCAGGUGCAAGCCCAUCCGCACUUAUUAAUGCUACUCAAUUAUUUGGUAAAUAAGAAUAGUGGACAAUUAAAAAAUUCAUCUAAAUAGAAACUAAUAAAUGAAUAAUUUAAUAUUAAAUAUAAUAUGAAUAAAUUGCUUUGAUUUCACAUAGAUACAAACUCAUCUCAAGACAAAUAAAAUAAUAUCCAAUAAUUCAUAUAUUUAUAUCUUGUUAGGUAUAUUGUAAAGGCCGCCCGGCCCGGCCCGACGGCCCACUAGAAAUAUGAGAGGGUUUGGGUAAAAAUAUAGGCCCGAAAUAUGGGUUUGGACAAAAAAAUGAGGCCCGUUUAAAAAACGGGCCGGGCCUCAGGCAUCACUUUUUUGGUUCGGGCUCGGCCCGAAUAUAAUAAAUAUAUAUUUAUUUUUAAUUUUAAAAUAUUUUUAAAAUACUUUUUUUUAUUUUUUAUUUUUAAAAUAAAUUUUUGGUGUUUAUUAAAAAAAUGGGUCGGGCCGGGCCGGGCUCGAGCUUAGGAAUUUUUUCCCAAGCCGGGCCUGGAAAAAAUUUCAGGCCUAUAUUUCGGGCCGGGUCGGACGCGGGCCAAAAUUUUUUCUGGGCCCGGCCCGGCUCGACCCAUGAACACCUUUAGUAUAUUCCCAAAUGAUCACAAUUUUAUAUUCAUUUUGAAUUUAACAUAUUUUGAUAAUGCAAUGUAUAAUGUUGUGUUUUCUUUAAUGUUUUGAAUUUUUUCAUGUUAUCCAUUUUUUUAUUAUGUUUUUAGUAUAAUGUUGGUAUCAUGUUCAAACUUAUUUAUUUACAUAAAAUAUUUUUUAUCCAUUUAUUAAAAUAUUAAUUUUUUAUGCUCAUCAAAUUAAGUAUUGGGUAUAAUGGUCAAAAGUAUUGCACCCUCAAGAGAAUAUAGAUUUGAAUAUUGAAGAUGAUAUUGUUAAAAAAAUAGCUAUGAACCCUUAACAUAAAUUAUAAAAUGGAUGUGAAAAGUAUAAAAAAAAAGAAUUAAAUAAGUGAAUCCAACAUUAUUUAUUAUUUUAAAUAUUCAUGAAUGAAUCUUGAGUAAAAUCAAACUUUAAUAUUUUUUUGUUCAAAGAAGAUUGAGUAAGAUAACCAAGUGUGCAAAAUUAAAUAUGUGGUGAAUGACAAUUGAUUAAGGAAUAGGAAAUUGAGUAGUAUCAGGAUUAUUGCCUUAAACAUUGACACUAGUCUAUAAAUAAUGUCUAGCCUAAACAUCAACCAAAUCACUCCCACAUCAAACAAACCACUCUCACAUUAAAUAUUGUUAGUGAAACAAUGGCGUCUUCAGCUCUGAUAAGUAAGCUUGAGGCAGAUGUAGAGAUUAAGGCUUCUCCUAAGCAGUUCCAUGAAAUGUUUGCCCACAAACCGCACCAUGUGCACCAUACUUGUUAUGACAAGAUUCAAGGAUGCGAUUUACAUGAAGGUGAAUGGGGGAAAGUCGGUACCAUUGUCCAUUGGAGUUAUGUGCAUGGUAUGAUAUAACAUAACAAACUCAGUUUCUUUUCAUGCUUAUCGCUUGAUUUGUUGCUCUUUUUGUUUUGUUAAAGAAAACAAGUUGUUUGUUUAGAUGGAAAGGCUAAAAAGGCAAAGGAAGUAGUGGAAGCAGUAGACCCUGAUAAGAAUUUGGUCACUUUCAGAGUGAUCGAAGGAGAUCUAAUGGAAGAGUAUAAGAGCUUUGUAAUCACGAUUCAAGUUUCGCCCAAGAGCGAGGGUAGUGGCAGCGUAGUGCACUGGACUUUGGAAUACGAGAAGCUGCACGGUGGGAUUGCGCAUCCUGAGACUCUGCUGCAAUUCGUUCAAGAUAUCUCUAAAGACAUUGACGCCCACCUCACCCAAGCAAGCUAAACAGUAUCACAUGUUGCUAUUGUUGCCGCUACUUGAAGCACUGUUCAUCUAUUUAAUGAAUAAAGUGACUUCCUUUCUCAUGUAUUUUGAUCUGAAUAUGUAAGUUUAGAUCAAUAUGCAGUCAAGGGGAGG
This 22791-nucleotide long non-coding RNA is filed under the name Gossypium barbadense (sea-island cotton). RNAcentral describes it as "long non-coding RNA (GBAR_LNC014379)". Lineage: Eukaryota; Viridiplantae; Streptophyta; Magnoliopsida; Malvales; Malvaceae. The record is from RNAcentral.